Molecule: long non-coding RNA, 4593 nt
Organism: Neofelis nebulosa (Clouded leopard)
Lineage: Eukaryota; Metazoa; Chordata; Mammalia; Carnivora; Felidae
Exons: 3
Source: RefSeq, a predicted model, not a curated record
UACUCCUGAAACUAAUAUUGCACUGUAUGUUAACUAAUUAAAAUUUAAAUUUUAGAAAAAGAUGUGGUAUGUAUAUACAAUGGAAUUUUAUUUAGCCAUAAAAAAGGAAAGCUUGCCAUCUGCUACAACAUCGAUGAAACUUGAAUGUAUUAUACUCAGUGAAAUAAAGAGAGAAAGAGAGACAAAUACUGUAUAAUAUCACUUAUAUAAAGAACUUAAAAAAAAACAGAGCUCAUAGAUACUGAGAACAGAUUUAACGGAUUGGUCAUUGCCAGGUAAGGAGGGUGGGGGUGAGCAUAAUGGGUAAAAGGGGUCAAAAUCUACAAACUUCCAGUUACAAAAUAAAUGUCAUAAGGGUAUAAUGUGCAUCAUGGUGACAAUAGUUACUAAUAUUAUAUUGCAUAUUUGAAAGUUGCUAAGAGAGUAAAUGUUAAAAUUUCUCAUUACAAAAAUAAUUUAUUAGCUAUUUAUGGUUAUGGAUGUAAAUCAUAUUUAUUGUGGUGAUCAUUUUGCAAUCUACACAAUUAUCGAAUCAUGUUGUACACCUGAAACUAAUAUAAUGUUAUGCUAAUUGUAUCUCAAUUAAAAAGCAAGAGAAUUAUUUUUUAAAAAAAGAUACUCUUUCCUGUAAUGAGAUUGUGGGUGAUGGUUAUUGUCCAUACUGUAAAUUUUGGAGUUCUGUUUUUUUGGGUGUCUGAGCCUCUUUAAAAAUUAUUAUUGGGGCACCUGGGGGGCUCAGUCGGUUAAGAUUCCAACUCAGUUUUGGCUCCGGUCAUGAUCUCACGGUGCGUGGGUCUGAGCCCCACAUUGGGCUCUGCACUGAUGGUGCAAAGCCUGCUUGGGAUUCUCUCUCUUUGUUUUCUCCCCUCAGUCUCUUUCUCUCAAAAAUAAAUAAACAGUUUUAAAAGUUAAAAAUAAGUCAGAUGCUCAAUUGAUUGAGCUACCCAGGCAUCCCUUGCUGAGUGUGUUUUUAAGGUUUAUCUGUGUUGUAACAUGUGUCAACACUGGACUCCUUUUUAUAGCUUAAUAGUAUUCCACUAUGUGGAUAUACCACAUGUUGUUCAUCAGUUUGCUCACUGAUGGACAAUUUGUGUUGUUUCCAGUUUUGGGGUUUUAGGUACAAGGCACACCAGAGACAUAUGUUGUCACUCAUCUUGGAUAAAUACCUAGAAAUAGAGUUGCCGGGUUGUAGGAUAAUCUAUGCUUAACUUCUUGAAGAAUUUUAAGGAAAUGUUUUCCAAAGUGGCUGCACCAUUUUACAUCCCCACCAGCAAUACGUGAUGGUUCCAAUUUCUCCAUACCUUCACCAUCAUUUGUCACCCUCAAGUCUUUUGGAUUAGAGCCAUUCUAGUGGGUGUGAAGUGGUACCUCAUUGGGGUUUUGAUUUGCAUUUCCCUUUUAACUAAUGAUAUUGAUCCUGUUUUCAUGUGUUCUUUGGCCAUUCAUAUAUCUUCUUUGGAAAAAAUGUUCAAAUCCUUUACUCAUUUUUAAUUGGGUUAUCUUAUUAUUGAGUUGCAAGAGAUCUUUAUAUUCUGGAUAUAAGUACAAGAUAUUUUUAUCAGAUAUAUGAUUUGCAAGUAUUUUCUCCCAGUCUUUGGCUUGUUUUUCUGUUUUCUUAAUAGUGUCUUUUAAAAAUUAUUUAUUUAUUUAUUUAUUUAUUUAUUUAUUUAUUUAUUUAUUUAUGAGAGAGAGAGAGAAACAGAGCAUGAGCAAGGGAGGGGCAGAGAGAGAGGGAGACACAGAAUCUGAAGCAGGCUCUGGGCUCUGAGCUGUCAGCAUAGAGCGUAAGGCGGGGUUCAAACUUGUGAACCAGGAGAUCAUGACCUGAGCAGAAGUCGGACACUUAACCAACUGAGCCACCCAGGCUCUCCUAAUGGUAUCUUUUUAAAAUGUGUAUUUAUUUAUUUUGAGAGAAAGAGAGAGCUCAAGCAGCGGAGGGGCAGAGAGAGAGGAAGAGAGAAUCCCAAGCAGGCUCCUCACUGUCAGCACAGAGCCCAACCAUGGGGCUGGAUCCCAUAAACCAUGAGAUAAUGACCUGAGCCAACAUCAAGAGCCCGGACACCCAACCAACUGAGCCACCCAGGUGCCCCUUAAAGAGGCUCCUUCUCAGAGGAGCCUGGGUUUCCAAGAAGCAUCGGGAAACAGAACUUGGUGGCGACCCUCACUUGAUGGCAUCGCCAGCCCGCCUCCAGUGCGCCAGCCCCUGGGCCUUACCUCCAGACACUUUACACCCCACCUCUACUCAGGUCAUCCUGCUGCAGCGGGAACGAAGACUUCCGGGACUCCUCCCCGGCUAGGCGUCACCGUCCAGUGCCCCGCCUGCCCCUCCUGCACGGGCACCUGGGCCUGUCCUCCCACACUGUGGCCGAGCCAAGGUGGGAAGGGACCCGAGGCUAAGGGCAGACCUUCGUCUGCUUUUUUGCCUUUCCAGGUUACCUAUUUGCCUUUCCAGGUCGGCGGCUUCAUCCGGCGUGGCUCGCGGAAGGACUCCCGGGUCACUGAAGCUGGUGCGAAGCAGGGUCCCCAUCACAAAGAAGAACAGAAUGCCACCAACCACGGGGAUGGCGGGGGUGAUUUUCACUGCUAGAUAUGGGCAGCUGCCAACAGGUUGGGAAGGCAGGAGGAGAGGGGAAAGAGAAAGGAAAUAUAAUGUCAGUAAUCAACAGCGAGCAGUCUAUAUUUUCCAAGAAGCCGAAAGCUUCUUUGGAGGAGCAAAAUUGAUUUCCAUUAAAAAUUCAUCUAUGUUAAGCAUUUACAUUUGGGGAGGUCUGCAAUUCUCUCUUGUGGACAGCUUCACCCUCCCUGUCAAGCCACAAAACCCCAGGCCCUCUGCUCCCACAGUGCUACUCGGGAAAGACACUGGCAGAGGAGAGAAAAUCAUCCCACUUGCACGAUCAAUGCAGGAUGAACAAGAGCUUGUAGCCCGCGCGUUAUCAAUACAGCUAGUGAAUCUGUGCCGUCUUCCCCGCCUUCCCUGAAACUGCACAAGACAAGAAGACGCCGGCUUAGAACCAUCUUCCCCAGACCCAGGCUUUCCUUCCUGAGUUGAACACCUUCCUGGUCCAAAAGCUGAGAAGCGCAAAUGCACCCUUUAAAGGCAAGAAACCUGGCAGAGUGGGAACCAAUGCCAUGCCUGGAGCUGAGUGAGGAUCGGAUCUGCAAUGACCAUGGUCAGUCUGUUGUCACCACGUUCAGUAACCUCAUGGGCAUCAUCAAGGAACACAACAGGGAAUCACAAGAUUGUAGGAUCUGGAAUGGAAAUCACCUUCUGGAUGGACCACCCACCAGGGGAUACGCUUGCAGAUAUUCAAGCCGAAACAAACAGAGAGAGUAGAGACGAAAGCUUUGUUCCAGACAAGGAGGUGGACAGGGGGCUCAGUCCUGGGAAUGUUAGGGACCAGCACCCCAUUCCUGUGCUGUGCUUGCAGAGGAGGUAGUGAGAUCUCUGAUGGGAUGGCAAGGGGAUCCCAGCAAGAGUCCAGGCCUCAAGGACCACGGGCCAUGAUCCCCUUUGCCAAGGCCAGCAUCAGGCAUGUUAGAACAUUUGGUCUUGAAGAGGCAUGGUGAAUGAGACAGAGACCUGAAGACUAGGUCACGGUAAAGAUGACUUUCCAACAACUCUAAGAAGGUGGAUGAGUGACCCCCAAAACGACUGGGAGGCAUGGCCUGCAGGCAGGCAGACUGGGGUCUCCAAGAGAAACACCUGAUUUAGAGACACAACAAUUUAUGACAUUUCUAACAUCUCGUUCAUCUUUCCCAUACCAACUGCCCUGCCCAACUACCAAACAACCAUCACCGGUCUCUCGUGUCACAUUUCACUCGCUGGAUUGUCAGUUGUGACUUCUUUUCAUGGGACUCACAGGAAACCAUAAAAAAUUGUUCACUGUCAUUCCUGCAUCAGUGUGACCCUGCCCAAACUUCCAGACACUUAUAACCUUUUUGAACAUCCUCAGAGAUUCUUGUAGAACAGUAUAUUUGGCAAAGAGAGCCAGAAGAUACAAAGAAUGUGGAUAAAAGGAACACAAGACUCUCUAACCUAAAGAUAAGCACUUUGUGAAAGCACUCAGUUCAAUUAUGGAAAGGACUUUCUAAAUUCAACUGAUUUUGCUCUACAUUAAAAAAAAUCAUUGUUUUCCUCGAGUGUUUUCUGGCAAAUACUAACAUAAUUAAUACCCUUUAAUGGGCUUCCGAUUUUUCUUAAAAAAUGUGAAAAGCUUCAAGUUAAAUAACCAAACAUUUAAGAGACUGAGGACACCAUAAUCUGGUAAAUAGCCCUUAGUAUAUACUCCUGGCUUCGUAAAGGGAACGUUUUCUUGCAAUAGGAAUUAGACAAUUAGAAGAUUUUAAAAGAUGGCCCCACUAAGAUUCAGCAUAAAGUGACAAUCAAAAGCACAUUUACUACUGAAUCAAACUUGGAAUCCAAAUGUUCAUAUGGGGCUGAAUCCCGGCUCUAUGACGCGGUGUGGUGCGGUGGGCUUCGGGGAUAGGUGCUCCUCAGGGCGUGUCUAUUACGUUAUUUAGACUGUAAGUCCAUGUUUGGACAGUGACAUGGAACUUUUAUGAAGAGCUGGUAAUAAAAAUCGAUUGCUGCAA